GCAGCAUGGUCUUAGCUUGCUAAGGCUGAUGGCGACCGGCGCACGGGUGAGUAACACGUAUCCAACCUGCCGUCUACUCUUGGCCAGCCUUCUGAAAGGAAGAUUAAUCCAGGAUGGCAUCAUGAGUUCACAUGUCCGCAUGAUUAAAGGUAUUUUCCGGUAGACGAUGGGGAUGCGUUCCAUUAGAUAGUAGGCGGGGUAACGGCCCACCUAGUCAACGAUGGAUAGGGGUUCUGAGAGGAAGGUCCCCCACAUUGGAACUGAGACACGGUCCAAACUCCUACGGGAGGCAGCAGUGAGGAAUAUUGGUCAAUGGGCGAUGGCCUGAACCAGCCAAGUAGCGUGAAGGAUGACUGCCCUAUGGGUUGUAAACUUCUUUUAUAAAGGAAUAAAGUCGGGUAUGCAUACCCGUUUGCAUGUACUUUAUGAAUAAGGAUCGGCUAACUCCGUGCCAGCAGCCGCGGUAAUACGGAGGAUCCGAGCGUUAUCCGGAUUUAUUGGGUUUAAAGGGAGCGUAGAUGGAUGUUUAAGUCAGUUGUGAAAGUUUGCGGCUCAACCGUAAAAUUGCAGUUGAUACUGGAUGUCUUGAGUGCAGUUGAGGCAGGCGGAAUUCGUGGUGUAGCGGUGAAAUGCUUAGAUAUCACGAAGAACUCCGAUUGCGAAGGCAGCCUGCU
This 674-nucleotide ribosomal RNA is filed under the name uncultured Bacteroidales bacterium. RNAcentral describes it as "bacterial SSU rRNA". It matches the Rfam family "Bacterial small subunit ribosomal RNA", at positions 67 to 730 of the family's 1533-position model. Lineage: Bacteria; Pseudomonadati; Bacteroidota; Bacteroidia; Bacteroidales. The record is from RNAcentral.